This 1990-nucleotide small RNA is filed under the name Pongo abelii (Sumatran orangutan). RNAcentral's name for it is "retained intron". Lineage: Eukaryota; Metazoa; Chordata; Mammalia; Primates; Hominidae. The record is from RNAcentral.
GGUACGUGGUGACCCGGUGGUACCGGGCUCCCGAGGUCAUCUUGAAUUGGAUGCGCUACACGCAGACGGGUGAGAAGCUGCCCAGAGAUUUGGGCCUUUCAGCCUGUACCAUCUGCUUCUCCACUUCUUCACGGAGAGCCCUGUGGUGGCUGCUCCCCAGGGAGGCUGUUGAGCUGGGGUGGGAGCCGGGCAGGUGGGCUGUGUCGGUGUCUCCUCCCUCCCCGUCUCAUCCUGUCCCCCUGCCCACGGAGCUGACCAGGGCUUCUAUCUCAGUGGACAUCUGGUCUGUGGGCUGCAUCAUGGCAGAGAUGAUCACAGGCAAGACGCUGUUCAAGGGCAGCGACCACCUGGACCAGCUGAAGGAGAUCAUGAAGGUGACGGGGACGCCUCCGGCUGAGUUUGUGCAGCGGCUGCAGAGCGAUGAGGCCAAGAACUACAUGAAGGGCCUCCCCGAAUUGGAGAAGAAGGAUUUUGCCUCCAUCCUCACCAAUGCAAGCCCUCUGGCUGUGAACCUCCUGGAGAAGAUGCUGGUGCUGGAUGCGGAGCAGCGGGUGACAGCGGCCGAGGCGCUGGCCCAUCCCUACUUUGAGUCCCUGCACGACACGGAAGAUGAGCCCCAGGUCCAGAAGUAUGAUGACUCCUUUGACGACGUGGACCGCACACUGGAUGAAUGGAAGCGUGAGUGGGGGGCGCCGGGCAGGGCCUGUGUGGACCCGAGUGGGGAGCUCUGGGCAGGGCCUGUAUGGACCUGUGAGUUGGGGGCUCUGGGUAGGGCCUGUGUGGACCCGGUGGGCCCUGUGCAGGUGGCCAGGCUCAAAGUCCUAGAUCCCUGUCCCUGGGAUGCAGGUCAGGUGAGGAGGACGGGAGGUCAGAGGGCAGCGUGGGGCCGUGUGGCCUGGUGGAGAUGACCUCUGGCUGGAGCUGGAAGAUGAAGGGAGGGUGUUCCUGGCAGGCUCAGCACAGAGGCUGGCACAGAAGGAGCCGGAAAUGGUGAAAGGCAGCUGUGAGUCAGGGAACCAGGGCCCACUUAGCCCCUCCUGGCCUCCAGACCUGCUGCCCUUCCGCCAUGUCCAGGCCAGAGACCUGGGCCACCCUGACACCCUUCCCACGUCCGCUUGUCCCUAAGGCCUCUCUGCUCACACCUCCUGAAUCUGUCCUUGCCUCUCCUUGCCCCAUUUUUUUUUUUUUUUUUGAGACGGAGUCUCACUCUGAUGCCCAGGCUGGAGUGCAGUGGCACGAUCUUGACUCACUGUAAGCUCUGUCUCCCGGGUACACACCAUUCUCCUGCCUCAGCCUCCCGAGUAGCCGGGACUACAGGCGCCUGCCACCAUGCCUGGCUAAUUUUUUGUAUUUUUAGUAGAGUCGGGGUUUCACCGUGUUAGCUAGGAUGGUCUUGAUCUCCUGACCUCGUGAUCCACCCGCCUUGGCCUCCCAAAGUGCUGGGAUUACAGGUGUGAGCCACCGCGCCCAGCCCUCUCCUUGCCCCACUUUAUUAUCCCUCCCCCCUGGACAACUGUAUACCCAAGACAGUCCCCGGGGCCUCGCCUGUCUCCCCCAGCUCCCCUGAGCAGUCCAGACCCCAAACCCAACUGCUGGGGUCCAUCAUCCCCUAUACCAAGGGCUAUCCCCUCAUCUUGGAGGGCUGGCCAAGGCCUGUGCAGCCUCAGGCUGGACUCAGGGAAGCCUCCCCAGCUCCCACAGCUAUGCUGUGGCCUGAGGCUGUGCUGGACCUGGCUUCAUUUCUGCUCCAGGAUGGCAGGCUGUGUCUUCUUCAUGGCUGCAUGACCAGCCUGGGGUGGGGGUACCUGGGGACAGUAGCUGUACACUGGGAGCAGUGCCGUGUUUCAGGCCCUGUCCUGGCUCUGCCUCGGGCGCAGGACCUUGGUCCUCCACACUGGCUGGGUGGGGCCGGAUGGGUUGAGAUUCACCUGUGCUCCUUAGGGCCACGGGUCCCUGGGUGCCUGCAGCAGGGCCUCCACCCUUAGCUGUG